UACGUAGGGUCCGAGCGUUGUUCGGAAUUACUGGGCGUAAAGAGCUCGUAGGUGGUUUGUCGCGUUGUUCGUGAAAACUCACAGCUCAACUGUGGGCGUGCGGGCGAUACGGGCAGACUUGAGUACUGCAGGGGAGACUGGAAUUCCUGGUGUAGCGGUGGAAUGCGCAGAUAUCAGGAGGAACACCGGUGGCGAAGGCGGGUCUCUGGGCAGUAACUGACGCUGAGGAGCGAAAGCGUGGGGAGCGAACAGG
This 253-nucleotide ribosomal RNA is filed under the name uncultured bacterium. Its description in RNAcentral is "partial 16S ribosomal RNA". It matches the Rfam family "Bacterial small subunit ribosomal RNA", at positions 524 to 776 of the family's 1533-position model. The record is from RNAcentral.